Molecule: long non-coding RNA, 3071 nt
Organism: Salvelinus fontinalis (brook trout)
Lineage: Eukaryota; Metazoa; Chordata; Actinopteri; Salmoniformes; Salmonidae
Exons: 3
Source: RefSeq, a predicted model, not a curated record
UUUUAGGCUGUGACACUGUUUGUGCAUCAGCUUCCUCUUUGUUUUCCACUCGCUACUCUGACGUUUUCAUUCGCUCGCAGGAAAAUGAUGCUCUCCUCCUGGGUCCAAUGUACGCACUAUGUUAAUUAGAAGAAAAACAACCUCUCUCUUCAUCUCCUGGUACUUCUCGGAUCUCAGGAAGCGGCCGAAGGAGUCCUUCUCCAUCAGAGCAUAAAUUCUCUUCUGGGCCAGGUCAAAGGUUGUGGAGGAAAGGUCAACCAGGUUCCUCAGGGUCACAUCCUUGGUGUAAUGAUCAAUGUUCACCUUAAGGGAGGAAAAGUGAGAAGGAUGGGAGGGAGGAAAGAGUCAGAGAGAGAGAGACAGAGAGAGACGGAGACAGGAAGGAUAAGGUGUGGCAUAUCAAGAAGUUGAUUAAACCACAUGAUCAUGCAUAGGUGUACCUUGUGCUGGGGACAAUAAAAGAACACUAAGAUUUGCAGUUUUGUCACACAACACAAUGCCACAGAUGUCUCAAGUUUUGAGGGAGCGUGCAAUUGGCAUGCUGACUGCAGGAAUGUCCACCAGAGCUGUUGCCAGAUAAUUUAAUGUUCAUUUUACCAUAAGCCACCUCCAACAUCGUUUUAGAGAAUUUGGCAGUACGUCCAACCGGCCUCACAGCCACAGACCACGUGUAACCACGCCAGCCCAGGACCUACACAUCCGGCUUCUUCACCUGCGGGAUUGUCUGAGACCAGCCACCCGGACAGCUGAUGAAACUGAGGAGUACUUAUGUCUGUUAUAAAGCCAUUUUUGUAGGGAAAAACUCAUUGGCCUAUGCCCUCCCAGGCCCACCUAUGGCUGCGCCCUUGCCCAGUCAUGUGAAAUUCAUGAAUUAGGGCCUAAUACAUUUUUUUCAAUUAACUGAUUUCCUUAUAUGAACUGUGACUCAGACAUUUGUUGAAAUUGUUGCAUGUUGCUUUUAUAUUUUUGUUUAGUAUAAAUAAAUAACCAGAACCCUGAUCCAACAACUUCCCUUGACUCAGAAAAAAGAAAAAACACUCUUUGCUUUCAUCUAUCCAGGGACUCUACUAUAGUGAACAUUACUGCAGAAACACAAAGGUCGUGGAUGCGUGUCCUAUUGUCUACCUCUGAUGUUAUAUCUCUGGCUUUUCCCCCCCAUCUAAAUGGCCACUUUGAGACAAUGUGUUACACAGAGAGGCAAUAAAACGCAGCAAUCUGAAAUCAAAUGACACAAAACCCUAUGGAUGAUCAAAUUUCUUCUGGAGAAGAACAUUGAAUUGAACUGUAGUGAACUAUUUUAUUUUUCUUGGAUUGAAACUUCACUUGUGGCAUUUAGUAGGCUAUUGAAUCACACUGCUACACACCAACAUAAUAACAUUACAGAACAUAAUCUUCACCAAUUCACCACAAUCUUCACCACUUUCCCCAUGCUACCUGUUUGUUCAGGUUUCCUAACAAACUUUAUUUCUGUUAAAUCAAUGUUCCAUAUUACACUAUAUAUAAACAUUUAUGUGGACACCCCUUCAAAUUAGUGGAUUUGGCUAUUUCAGCCACAUUCGUUGCUGACAGUUUUAUAGAAUCGAGCACACCGCCAUGCAAUCUCCAUAGGACCAUUGGCAGUAGAAUGGCCUUUCUGAAGAGGUCAAUGACUUUUAAUGUGGCACCCUCAUAGGAUGCCACCUUUCCAACAAGUAAGUUUGUCAAAUUUCUGCUCUGCUAGAGUUGCCCCGGUCAACUGUAAGUGCUGUUUUUUGAAGUGGAAAUGUCUAUGAGCAACAACGGCUCAGCCGCGAAGUGGUAGCCCACACAAACUCACAGAACGGGAUUGCCGAGAGCUGAAGCGCAUAGAGUGUAAAAAUCAUCUGUCCUCGGUUGCAACACUCACUACCGAGUUCCAAACUGCCUCUGGAAACAAUGUCAGCACAAUAACUGUUCAUUUGGAGGCCAAGCAGCCUCACACAAGCAUAAGAUCACCAUGUGCAAUGCCAAAGCAAACUGCCAUUGGACUCUGGAGCAGUGGAAAUGUGUUCUCUGGAGUGAUGAAUCACGUUUCACCAUCUGGCAGUCUGAAGGAUGAAUCUGGGUUUGGCAGAUGCCAGGUGAACGCUAACUACUUGAAUGCAUAGUGCAAACUGUAAAGUUUGGUGGAUGAGGAAUAAUGGUCUGGGGCUGUUUUUCAUGGUUCGGGCUAGGCCCCUUAGUUCCAGUGAAGGGAAUCUUAACGCUACAGCAUACAAUGACAUUCUAGACGAUUCUGUGCUUUCAACUUUGUAGCAACAUUUUGGGGAAGGCCCUUUCCUGUUUCAGCAUGACAUUGCCCCUGUGCACAAAGCGAGGUCUAUACAGAAAUGUUUUGUUGAGAUCGGUGUUCAAGAACUUGACUGGCCUGCACAGAGCUCUGACCUUAACCCCAUCAAACACAUUUGGGAUGAAUUGGAACACCGACUGAAAGCCAGGCCUAAUCGCCCAACCUCAGUGCCCGACCUCACUAAUGCUCUUGUGGCUGAAUGGAAUCAAGUUCUCGCAGCAAUAAUCCAACAUCUUGUGGAAAGCCUUCCCAGAAGAAAGGACAUUGUUAUAGCAGCAAAGGGGGCACCAACUCCCAAUUAAUUCCCAUGAUUUUGGAAUGUGAUGUUCAACGAGCAGGUGUCCACAUAUUUUUGGUCAUGUAGUGUAUCUGUAUUCAAUAGACGGUUCUGAUUGAAAGUGUUUUUUUUUGCAGUGUGGAGCAGUUCCCAGGAAAUAAUUUAAUGCAAUUGUUAGAUGCUACCACACCCACCUCCAAAUCAAAACCAAACAUACUGUAGAUGUCAAUGUUUGCUCGCACACUCUCCGUUUUACUUCCUGUCCGGCAGCAUGGUGCCUGUAUUGCGACGCUGAUUAGCUAGGACAAACAGGUGUGAAACACAGACAAGUGUGCGCAGAAAAUGAGAACACAACAUGAAAUUCAUGUUUGGUUUUGAUUUAGAGGAGGGUGGUAGCAUCUAACAUUUGGAUUUAAUAUGAAACAGAAAAUGUGUUUUCACAUGUGAAGUGAAAACAUGUUAAUCUUCUCACAUGUGAAAAGGUGG